ACGGAGGGUGCGAGCGUUGUCCGGAAUCACUGGGCGUAAAGGGCGCGUAGGUGGCGCGAGAAGUCAACGGUGAAAGCUCGUCGCUUAACGACGAGUCGGCCGUCGAUACUCUUGUGCUCGAGCACUGUAGAGGCAGAUGGAAUUCCGGGUGUAGCGGUGGAAUGCGUAGAGAUCCGGAAGAACACCGGUGGCGAAGGCGGUCUGCUGGGCAGUUGCUGACACUGAGGCGCGACAGCGUGGGGAGCAAACAGGA
This 253-nucleotide ribosomal RNA is filed under the name uncultured prokaryote. RNAcentral's name for it is "partial 16S ribosomal RNA". It matches the Rfam family "Bacterial small subunit ribosomal RNA", at positions 525 to 777 of the family's 1533-position model. The record is from RNAcentral.